RNAcentral lists this transfer RNA (74 nucleotides) under Baudoinia panamericana UAMH 10762. RNAcentral's name for it is "tRNA-Val (AAC) (tRNA-Val-AAC-1-1, tRNA-Val-AAC-1-2)". It matches the Rfam family "tRNA". Rfam says of the family: Transfer RNA (tRNA) molecules are approximately 80 nucleotides in length. Their secondary structure includes four short double-helical elements and three loops (D, anti-codon, and T loops). Further hydrogen bonds mediate the characteristic L-shaped molecular structure. tRNAs have two regions of fundamental functional importance: the anti-codon, which is responsible for specific mRNA codon recognition, and the 3' end, to which the tRNAs corresponding amino acid is attached (by aminoacyl-tRNA synthetases). tRNAs cope with the degeneracy of the genetic code in two manners: having more than one tRNA (with a specific anti-codon) for a particular amino acid; and 'wobble' base-pairing, i.e. permitting non-standard base-pairing at the 3rd anti-codon position. Lineage: Eukaryota; Fungi; Ascomycota; Dothideomycetes; Mycosphaerellales; Teratosphaeriaceae. The record is from RNAcentral.
GCAGGGAUGGUGUAGUUGGUCAUCACGACUGUCUAACACACAGUAGGUCCCGGGUUCAAACCCCGGUCCCUGUA